Molecule: ribosomal RNA, 365 nt
Filed under: Peptostreptococcus stomatis
Lineage: Bacteria; Bacillati; Bacillota; Clostridia; Peptostreptococcales; Peptostreptococcaceae
Description: bacterial SSU rRNA
Rfam family: Bacterial small subunit ribosomal RNA
Source: RNAcentral
GAUGCAGCAACGCCGCGUGAACGAUGAAGGUCUUCGGAUCGUAAAGUUCUGUUGCAGGGGAAGAUAAUGACGGUACCCUGUGAGGAAGCCCCGGCUAACUACGUGCCAGCAGCCGCGGUAAUACGUAGGGGGCUAGCGUUAUCCGGAUUUACUGGGCGUAAAGGGUGCGUAGGUGGUCCUUCAAGUCGGUGGUUAAAGGCUACGGCUCAACCGUAGUAAGCCGCCGAAACUGGAGGACUUGAGUGCAGGAGAGGAAAGUGGAAUUCCCAGUGUAGCGGUGAAAUGCGUAGAUAUUGGGAGGAACACCAUAGCGAAGGCGGCUUUCUGGACUGCAACUGACACUGAGGCACAAAGCGUGGGUACCA